Molecule: ribosomal RNA, 1405 nt
Filed under: Mammaliicoccus sciuri
Lineage: Bacteria; Bacillati; Bacillota; Bacilli; Caryophanales; Staphylococcaceae
Description: bacterial SSU rRNA
Rfam family: Bacterial small subunit ribosomal RNA
Source: RNAcentral
GCUGGCGGCGUGCCUAAUACAUGCAAGUCGAGCGAACAGAUGAGAAGCUUGCUUCUCUGAUGUUAGCGGCGGACGGGUGAGUAACACGUGGGUAACCUACCUAUAAGACUGGGAUAACUCCGGGAAACCGGGGCUAAUACCGGAUAAUAUUUUGAACCGCAUGGUUCAAUAGUGAAAGACGGUUUCGGCUGUCACUUAUAGAUGGACCCGCGCCGUAUUAGCUAGUUGGUAAGGUAACGGCUUACCAAGGCGACGAUACGUAGCCGACCUGAGAGGGUGAUCGGCCACACUGGAACUGAGACACGGUCCAGACUCCUACGGGAGGCAGCAGUAGGGAAUCUUCCGCAAUGGGCGAAAGCCUGACGGAGCAACGCCGCGUGAGUGAUGAAGGUCUUCGGAUCGUAAAACUCUGUUGUUAGGGAAGAACAAAUUUGUUAGUAACUGAACAAGUCUUGACGGUACCUAACCAGAAAGCCACGGCUAACUACGUGCCAGCAGCCGCGGUAAUACGUAGGUGGCAAGCGUAUCCGGAAUUAUUGGGCGUAAAGCGCGCGUAGGCGGUUUCUUAAGUCUGAUGUGAAAGCCCACGGCUCAACCGUGGAGGGUCAUUGGAAACUGGGAAACUUGAGUGCAGAAGAGGAGAGUGGAAUUCCAUGUGUAGCGGUGAAAUGCGCAGAGAUAUGGAGGAACACCAGUGGCGAAGGCGGCUCUCUGGUCUGUAACUGACGCUGAUGUGCGAAAGCGUGGGGAUCAAACAGGAUUAGAUACCCUGGUAGUCCACGCCGUAAACGAUGAGUGCUAAGUGUUAGGGGGUUUCCGCCCCUUAGUGCUGCAGCUAACGCAUUAAGCACUCCGCCUGGGGAGUACGACCGCAAGGUUGAAACUCAAAGGAAUUGACGGGACCCGCACAAGCGGUGGAGCAUGUGGUUUAAUUCGAAGCAACGCGAAGAACCUUACCAAAUCUUGACAUCCUUUGACCGCUCUAGAGAUAGAGUCUUCCCCUUCGGGGGACAAAGUGACAGGUGGUGCAUGGUUGUCGUCAGCUCGUGUCGUGAGAUGUUGGGUUAAGUCCCGCAACGAGCGCAACCCUUAAGCUUAGUUGCCAUCAUUAAGUUGGGCACUCUAAGUUGACUGCCGGUGACAAACCGGAGGAAGGUGGGGAUGACGUCAAAUCAUCAUGCCCCUUAUGAUUUGGGCUACACACGUGCUACAAUGGAUAAUACAAAGGGCAGCGAAUCCGCGAGGCCAAGCAAAUCCCAUAAAAUUAUUCUCAGUUCGGAUUGUAGUCUGCAACUCGACUACAUGAAGCUGGAAUCGCUAGUAAUCGUAGAUCAGCAUGCUACGGUGAAUACGUUCCCGGGUCUUGUACACACCGCCCGUCACACCACGAGAGUUUGUAACACCC